Molecule: long non-coding RNA, 2646 nt
Organism: Balaenoptera musculus (blue whale)
Lineage: Eukaryota; Metazoa; Chordata; Mammalia; Artiodactyla; Balaenopteridae
Exons: 6
Source: RefSeq, a predicted model, not a curated record
CGGGUGCGGCGAGACUCACGGCCUUCAGCUGCUCCAGCCGGUCCUUCAUCCUGGUGCCCAGGCGCCCGGAGACAGCCAUUCACUACCUGUGCCGGGCUCUGUGCUAGGAUCCAGCCCUCAACAGACUGAUUCAUUGCUAGGCGGCGCCAACAUCCCGUAAACGAGGAACUCUAAGACAAAGUGAUUUGUGCUAUAACAGGUGGGGGAACUCUAAGACAAAGUGAUUUGUGCUAUAACAGGUGGGGGAACUCUAAGACAAAGUGAUUUGUGCUAUAACAGGUGGGGGAGAGAGAGCAAUUAAUUCUGCCUGGAGGAAGGGUAUUCCAAGUAAAGGAAUGCGCACGGUCCGGCGGACUGCGUGCUGGAGCUGAAAGAGUGUGCUCCUCGUGGAAAUAACUGGAGGUGAGGCGGGGUGGGGAAGGCCGGGACGAAGAAUUUGGAUUUUAUGAUGUUGGCAAUGGGGAUCCUUAAGAGAAAUGCAAGCAGUUCAGUGAUGAAGUCAGAACACCUGCCGCUAACAAAGUGUAUACCUUUGGAAAGUUAUUGUUUCUCUAGGCGACUCCGUUUCUGUAUCUGUAAAUCAGAGAUAUUACCCACUUCCCAGUUUGCUGUGAGGCCUUGUUGACAGAGGAGGAAUGACUGAUUCGUCACCUGUGGAGCAGAGCUGUAAGAGAAGGAUGUGUGUAUUGGAAAGCUUAAGCUUUCCGACCUGAUCCCCUAGCGCUUGCUCCGUGCUGACUUCAUCGCCUCCCAUGAAGAUAUGGUCUGUAAUCCUCGCUGUAGUCCUGCACACUUCCUUCUACCCCAGGCGUUCGCUAGGUGAAUUAAUUUCCAAUCUUUGGUAAAGGGAAGGCUCCUGCGCCCCCUGGUGGUCAGAAAUGGAAACGAAAUUUAAUCUGUCCUUCACAAGACGGGCUCUCCAUGAAGGGACAGUAGCUAUGGAGCCACGGAACAAUUGCUGACACAUAGCCAGGAGGACUGAGUUCUAGACACAGUUUCUGCCACAAAACAGCUGUCACUUGACAUCGCACAAUCUAUUUUCUCAUCUGUGAGCAUAAAGAGCGCUCUUAACUGCACGUGGAGCCCAGGAACCCAGGAAGGGAAGCAUCAGCAGAGUUCUCUUCUUAUGACGUUCUAUUCGAAGGGAGUUGUCACAGACUUCCAGCCUUUUUUUAAAAAACUCCUAUUAGGACUCCAGGUGAGUUUCGCUGGGUGCCUCUGCCUCAGGACUGCAGUUAAGGUGUUGGCCAGAGGCUGCAUCUCAUCUCCUGGCUUGACUGGGAAAGGAUCUGCUUCCAAAGUCACUCACAUGGUUGCCAGCAGGAUUCAGUUCUUCAGGGGCUGUACUUCACCCCGUGGGCCUCUUCAUAGCGCAGCUCACAACAUGGCAGCUGAAUUCCAUCAGCCCAAGCAGGUGAGAGGGAUAGAGAAAGAGAGAGAAAAGCCAAAGUGUUUUUGUAACCUAAUCUCGCCUGUGACAUCACUUUUGCCGUACUGUAUCGAUUAAAAGAGAAGUGCUAGGUUCAGCCCCCACUCAAGGCCAGGAGAUAACACAAGGGGAUGGAGACCGAGAGCCAUCUCAGCAGCUGCCUAGAACACAAUUCAAAUCCCAGAUUCAUGCCAGAGUUACGCUCUUUCACCUACUUAGAGCUCUCUUCUCCCCUGUAUCUGAACUGGACAACCCUCACCCAUUCUAGGAUUAAGUGUCCCUCAGACAUGCUUCCCUGACAGCCUGGACUUCAUUAUAGCCCUACCACACUGUGUAACCCGGUCUACCUCCUGUACCUUCCGUGAGCUCCGCGAGGUCAGCAGCCUGGUCUCUCCUUUUCACUAAUGCGAACCCAGACCCCAGCCUCGGCCCCAAAACGUCGCUGUAGACACUCAGUUAGGGUUUACCAAAUUAAUUAAAUGAAUCUUCUUGUCCUAGGGCUCCAUUAUGUCUUUCUUCUGAUUAAAAUUCAUCAGUGGCUCCUUAUUACAAGAUUAGGGAGUCCAGACUCUUCUUAGAAUGUCAUUCAAGCCCUUGCACAGUCUGGCCCCAGCCCCAGGUUCUGUCACUCCCUGACACACACAGCCCCACCUUCAGCCUCCUCAAACACUCUCCUCUUCUCUGCAUCUAAUAUGCCCAGGAUUUCCCACCCAGCUCUGCCUGAUUUGUCCUUUUUCCGUUUCAUAUCUGACAAAUCCCUACUCCUCCUUCAAGACCGAGGCCUUCUCCAAUUCACUCAGGUGGUCUCCUUGGCCCUCUGCCCUCCCGCCCCAAACAGUACUUGUUCAGAUCUAUUUUAAAAGCAAACCCUGGGUUGUCUUAUACCUCGUUGCUUACAUACCUGUUGAGAGCGACGACCAGGUAUUAUAUUAUUCACCUUCCAGGGGUACUGUGAGGUAGGUGCACUGCAAUUAUUUGGAGGAUAAAUCAAAGAAUAGUUGACUACUAUUCUUAUGUAGUGUGUGACUACACACACACACACAUACACACACACACACACUCACACACACACUCCCUAGGGAUUCUCCUCUCCUCUGCCUAGGGAGGAAAGAAGAUCCUUCCUGGAUCUUAAAGCUAAAUGCAAUUGCAACUCCCUGUGUCACUGAAUGGUGUGUUUAAAGUAAUGUAUUCUAAAGACAUAGAGGACAGACUUGUGG